CAGCCGCCGCGGUAAUUCGGGGGAUGCAAGCGUUAUCCGGAAUGAUUGGGCGUAAAGAGUCCGUAGGUAGUCAUCCAAGUCUGCUGUUAAAGAGCGAAGCUUAACCUCGUAAAGGCAGUGGAAACUGGAAGACUAGAGUGUAGUAGGGGCAGAGGGAAUUCCUGGUGUAGCGGUGAAAUGCGUAGAGAUCAGGAAGAACACCGGUGGCGAAGGCGCUCUGCUGGGCUAUAACUGACACUGAGGGACGAAAGCUAGGGGAGCGAAUGGGAUUAGAUACCCCAGUAGUCCUAGCGGUAAACGAUGGAAACUAGGUGUGGCCUGUAUCGACCCGGGCCGUGCCGAAGCAAACGCGUUAAGUUUCCCGCCUGGGGAGUACGCCCGCAAGUGUGAAACUCAAAGGAAUUG
This 405-nucleotide ribosomal RNA is filed under the name bacterium enrichment culture clone LiUU-17-727. RNAcentral describes it as "bacterial SSU rRNA". It matches the Rfam family "Bacterial small subunit ribosomal RNA", at positions 509 to 912 of the family's 1533-position model. The record is from RNAcentral.